Molecule: ribosomal RNA, 490 nt
Filed under: uncultured Promicromonosporaceae bacterium
Lineage: Bacteria; Bacillati; Actinomycetota; Actinomycetes; Micrococcales; Promicromonosporaceae
Description: bacterial SSU rRNA
Rfam family: Bacterial small subunit ribosomal RNA
Source: RNAcentral
GUAGUUGACUCCGUCGGCUCGACGGACGACGCUGGCGGCGUGCUUAACACAUGCAAGUCGAACGGUGAAGCCCAGCUUGCUGGGUGGAUCAGUGGCGAACGGGUGAGUAACACGUGAGCAACCUGCCCUUCACUUCGGGAUAAGCCUUGGAAACGGGGUCUAAUACCGGAUAUGAGCGCUCAUCGCAUGGUGGGUGUUGGAAAGGUUUUUCGGUGAGGGAUGGGCUCGCGGCCUAUCAGCUUGUUGGUCGGGGUAACGGCCUACCAAGGCGUCGACGGGUAGCCGGCCUGAGAGGGCGACCGGCCACACUGGGACUGAGACGCGGCCCAGACUCCUACGGGAGGCAGCAGUGGGGAAUAUUGCACAAUGGGCGAAAGCCUGAUGCAGCGACGCCGCGUGAGGGAUGACGGCCUUCGGGUUGUAAACCUCUUUCAGCAGGGAAGAAGCGCAAGUGACGGUACCUGCAGAAGAAGCGCCGGCUAACUACGUG